GUUCCCUUUGGCAGAACAUAUACUAAAAUUGGAAUGAUAGAGAUUAUCAUGGCCCCAGAGCAAGGAUGACAUGUAAAUUCAUGAAGUGUUCAAUUUUAUU
RNAcentral lists this small nuclear RNA (100 nucleotides) under Jaculus jaculus (lesser Egyptian jerboa). The record is from RNAcentral. Lineage: Eukaryota; Metazoa; Chordata; Mammalia; Rodentia; Dipodidae.